CAGCUGGAGUGCGGGGGGGACCUCCAGCCCCCCGGGGGGUCCCUGCGCCUCCUCUUCCAGGAGUCCGGGUUCAGUUUUGGGAAUUUUGGGAUGGAUUGGGUUCACCAGAGACCUGGGCAGGGCCUGGAGUGGAUUGCGGGGAUCAGCUACACUGGUGGAGGCACCGGCUACGCAGAUUCAGUCAAGGGCCGGUUCAGGAUCUCCAGGGACAACGGGCAGAGCUCGGUGACGCUGACCAUGAACAACCUCAAGGACGAGGAUUCUGGAUCCUAUUUCUGUGACAAAUUCUACAACGCUCGUGCUGGUGCUCCUCGUAUUGAUGUCGGUGCCACCCCCAUCUCCGUGUGCCCCCCUGUCCCUAUUGCCCAGACCCUUCCCCCAAAGCCCCAGCCCACACCAAGCCCUUGA
Molecule: non-coding RNA, 408 nt
Organism: Melozone crissalis (California towhee)
Lineage: Eukaryota; Metazoa; Chordata; Aves; Passeriformes; Passerellidae
Source: the annotation of a RefSeq genome assembly